This 254-nucleotide ribosomal RNA is filed under the name uncultured bacterium. RNAcentral describes it as "partial 16S ribosomal RNA". It matches the Rfam family "Bacterial small subunit ribosomal RNA", at positions 524 to 776 of the family's 1533-position model. The record is from RNAcentral.
UACAGAGGUGGCAAGCGUUGUUCGGAAUUACUGGGCGUAAAGCGCACGCAGGCGGGUCGUCAAGUCAGGGGUGAAAUCCCGAGGCUCAACCUCGGAACUGCCUUUGAUACUGGCGACCUUUGAGUCCGGGAGAGGUGAGUGGAACUCCGAGUGUAGAGGUGAAAUUCGUAGAUAUUCGGAAGAACACCAGUGGCGAAGGCGGCUCACUGGCCCGGUACUGACGCUCAUGUGCGAAAGCGUGGGGAGCAAACAGG